This is a long non-coding RNA of Zea mays, 1381 nucleotides long. RefSeq lists it as uncharacterized. NCBI's taxonomy places the organism in Eukaryota, Viridiplantae, Streptophyta, Magnoliopsida, Poales, Poaceae. The transcript is spliced from 3 exons. The record is from RefSeq and is a predicted model, not a curated record.
ACCACUUGCCUCCAAUGAUUCUAGGAGUAUGGUGGAUGUUGCGCAAGAGAAAGAAGCUUCUGGUCUGAAGGUUGAUCAAAGGAUUUUUGAUCAAAGCAAGGGAAGGUCCAGAUUUGCCAGGGAGAUCUCCAUGAAUCCACAGCUCAUGGACCUUCAAAGGAGAAGGUACCCUCACUAAGGAACAAGUACAGGCUGAAUUAGAAAGACUUGUCUCUGCAAAAUGGGCAUGGAAUAUUCAUGAUAUGGGUAACAAUUCUUUUAGGGUUACUUUUCCAUCAAUGGGUGAAAUGCAGAGGAUGAUUGAAUGGGGCGUUGUGCAAACAAAGUUUAAGGCAAAACUGCAAAUCAAAGAGGCUACUGUAGAUGACGAAGUGAAGUAUGUUAUGCCAAAAGUGUGGGUCCAAUUUACUGGAUUGCCAGAGGAAUUAAGAGAUUUCCCAGUUAUAUGGGCUGUUGGCUCAAUCCUUGGAGUGUCAAAGGAGGUGGAUAUGAUUUUUACCAGACAAUAUGGUCGGUGUCGACUCCAAGUGUUAGUAUUAGAUCCUAAUAUUAUCCCACGGUAUGUGGAUGUAGUCAUUGGUGACUUUUUAUAUGAGCUUCGUUUUCGUGUGGAGAAGAACUUGGAGGACUCCAAUCCGGAGCCAAUGGACAUGGAUGAUAUUACGGAGGAUGGCAAUGGGGAGGCCACUAAUGGCGAUGCUGCAGAGGAGAAGUCAAUGUAUGAUGCUAAACAGAAUAGAGAAGAAAAGAAGGGGGAACUGAGUAGCAGGGAAUUUCUUCUUCCAAGGUGGUCAAACAGGUACUAUUUUCUGCUACAGAAGAUGUUCGAGUUGAGCAGGAGCAUAUUAUGGUUGAGGAAAACAGCAUGGAUCAGAAGCAGGUUGGGGUGGUGAGUCCUAUAUUGCUGAAGAAGUUCGGAUACAGAAUGAGGUUAAAAUGAUGGUUGCAAUUCCGAAAGCUGAUGACAGCCAGGAGUUUCUGUGUUGGAGUAAACGUCGCGCGGCAUCAACGGGAGAGGGAUCCCUGGGCCGGGCAGAACGUCUCAAAGCAGGACGGAACCUAGAUAUGGCGACAGGACAAGGUGGUUUUUCGGGCUACGCAUUGGCUCCAGUUCUGAGCUCAACUACAACUUAGACAGGAUGAUCAAGAACUAAUAAUCAAGGCAUGACGUAGAUUGGAGGAGUUGGUAAUGCAGAUUUUUAGACAUCAUGGAUGGGGAUCUGCAUUUAGACUUUGUCUUUAAUCUCGUUUCGCCACACUAUGUUUUGCCUUUCUUUGAGUUUUCAGAUAGUGUUGUUUCUAUCUGAGUCUGUAAUAAUUCGGCUAUAGUCUCUUUGAGACAAAGGCCAGGAACUUUGAAUUCCCAUUAUCUAAAAAAAUA